AAUGAACGCUGGCGGCAUGCCUUACACAUGCAAGUCGAACGGCAGCAUGACCUAGCUUGCUAGGUUGAUGGCGAGUGGCGAACGGGUGAGUAAUGCAUCGGAACGUGCCUUUUAGUGGGGGAUAACGUAGCGAAAGUUACGCUAAUACCGCAUAUUCUCUGAGGAGGAAAGCAGGGGACCUUCGGGCCUUGCGCUAGAAGAGCGGCCGAUGUCGGAUUAGCUAGUUGGUGAGGUAAAGGCUCACCAAGGCAACGAUCCGUAGCGGGUCUGAGAGGAUGAUCCGCCACACUGGGACUGAGACACGGCCUAGACUCCUACGGGAGGCAGCAGUGGGGAAUUUUGGACAAUGGGCGCAAGCCUGAUCCAGCCAUGCCGCGUGAGUGAAGAAGGCCUUCGGGUUGUAAAGCUCUUUCGGCUGGGAAGAAAUCGCACCCUCUAAUACAGGGUGUGGAUGACGGUACCAGCAUAAGAAGCACCGGCUAACUACGUG
RNAcentral lists this ribosomal RNA (490 nucleotides) under uncultured bacterium. Its description in RNAcentral is "partial 16S ribosomal RNA". It matches the Rfam family "Bacterial small subunit ribosomal RNA", at positions 29 to 507 of the family's 1533-position model. The record is from RNAcentral.